GUUUACGUCGGCCGGAGGAGCAGGCCCGGAAGACCUGCCGCAUGGGCAGCCCCCUUGCUGCGCGGCACCCUGUGAGCCGGGGCCUGUGGGCCACAGCUGAUUGGACCAAGGGUAAAAUCUAGAAUAUACAAAGGACAGGGGUAGGUCAUCAAGCCCAACAGAAGACAGACAGGCCUAAGUUUACAGGGGACAGGGGACCACUGGACCAGUGUUUAUCCCAGUAUCUGGGAGCCACUGUGUGCAGCUGAGCACAGCCCAAGUGAGCAGAGCGGGUGGUUAAAGUCUUCCGUCGUUGCCCAGAGAAGUGACCUGAGUCGCUGAGUCCCAGGAUGCAGCUGGGAGCCAGGGACAUGGCUUCCAAUCCUUGAGCCUCUGUUUCAGACACAUGGCCUGAUUUUUUGCUCCAGGAGGCUCACCUCUGUGGG
RNAcentral lists this long non-coding RNA (425 nucleotides) under Felis catus (domestic cat). RNAcentral's name for it is "lncRNA (ENSFCAG00000045209.2)". Lineage: Eukaryota; Metazoa; Chordata; Mammalia; Carnivora; Felidae. The record is from RNAcentral.